UUAGUUCAUUUUAAUCAUAGAUGAAGUAAAAAAAAGUAGAUAAUGCGCGGCCUAUGUUGUUACUGAAGCCACAAAACUCGGCUCCUUCAAGUAAACACACGCGCUCACGCACACAUAUGCAUCAAACUACGCUCAUUUUCGUUAGUAUCUCACGGGGCCUCGUACAGUAACUUUGCCUUCAAAAUGCCGUUCUUAUGUAAUUAAAUGGUGCAAAAACAAUACCAAAGUGAAUAAAAAGUCUCAAGAAAUAUCGUUUCACACGACCUACCGGAUGAGUCUAAAAUCAGUCAAUAACCAAGAUUCAAUCUUUGAUACACCUAGAAAACAUAAACCAAGAGAAAAGUUAAAAAGACAGGAACUUUAUUUAAAAAAAAAAUUAAAUCAUUACAGCAAAGAGUUAGACGUCUUUAAAACAGGGACUUGCCC
This 426-nucleotide unclassified non-coding RNA is filed under the name Melitaea cinxia (Glanville fritillary). Its description in RNAcentral is "misc RNA ENSMCXG00005020268.1". The record is from RNAcentral. Lineage: Eukaryota; Metazoa; Arthropoda; Insecta; Lepidoptera; Nymphalidae.